Molecule: ribosomal RNA, 400 nt
Filed under: uncultured bacterium
Lineage: Bacteria
Description: bacterial SSU rRNA
Rfam family: Bacterial small subunit ribosomal RNA
Source: RNAcentral
UGAGGAAUAUUGGUCAAUGGCCGCAAGGCUGAACCAGCCAUGCCGCGUGCAGGACAACGGCCCUACGGGUCUUAAACUGCUUUUGGAAGGGAACAAUAAAGACUACGCGUAGUUUGACGAGCGUACCUUCCGAAUAAGCAUCGGCUAACUCCGUGCCAGCAGCCGCGGUAAUACGGAGGAUGCAAGCGUUAUCCGGAUUCAUUGGGUUUAAAGGGUGCGUAGGCGGCUCAUUAAGUCAGCGGUGAAACUCACGGGCUCAACCCGUGACCUGCCAUUGAUACUGGUAAGCUUGAAUACGGAUGAAGCGGGAGGAAUGUAUGGUGUAGCGGUGAAAUGCAUAGAUAUCAUACAGAAGGCCGAAUGCGAAGGCAUCCCGCUAAUCCGUCAUUGACGCUGAGGC